RNAcentral lists this ribosomal RNA (16 nucleotides) under Caloboletus calopus. RNAcentral describes it as "partial 18S ribosomal RNA". The record is from RNAcentral. RNAcentral also lists the same sequence under 1 other name. Lineage: Eukaryota; Fungi; Basidiomycota; Agaricomycetes; Boletales; Boletaceae.
GCGGAAGGAUCAUUAU